Oncorhynchus keta (chum salmon) is the source of this 1259-nucleotide long non-coding RNA. RefSeq lists it as uncharacterized. The record is from RefSeq and is a predicted model, not a curated record. The transcript is spliced from 3 exons. Lineage: Eukaryota; Metazoa; Chordata; Actinopteri; Salmoniformes; Salmonidae.
CCCGCUGGCGGCUUCAAUGGCUUGGGAAACAUUGAGAGGAGGGAGGAUAUUUGAGCCGCUUGUGUGUUCGCACAGCGUCAGUGAUCCUUCUAUGGCAAAGCUCCAUGAUAAGGUCACUCAGAGUACGUAUGUUGCAGAUCGACCUUGACCAGGGAAAGGACAGCAAUUUGGACUGAGACGAAAGGUUUAUUUAAGAAUAUAUUUAUUGGCACAGACAUGCUGCCAAUAAAGUUUAGCAAGGAAACGCAGCCAUAGGUCUACUACACCCAAUGGGUCAGACACACACACAGUAAAGUAGCAUGUUGCAAGAGUCAGUUACAUGUACGUCAGACAGAUCGUAUCGAUCGAUAUAUGCGCUGAGAAGUAGCACUGUACGAGUCAGUGGACAGUGUCUGUAGCAUGAGAACUGCAGAGAAGUGAGACGUUUCACUUGACAUACGCGAGAAAGAUCACACUGAUUUUCCCUCACUUCCAACCUUUAUCACGUGGCCCCUUCAUCAUGUGAAGUUGGUCACCAGGCUGAUAACUUAGCAGAACCAGCUGCUGUAGCAGAGACCAGGCCUAAAUAAUGCUUAAACAGCCACCGUCAAGGAAACAGCCCCUGGACUGCCCAAACAUGUUCAAGUGAUCAAGUUUACAUCGGUUACAUGAUCAAGUUUACAUCGGUUAUACAAUUUUCUUAUGUCAAAUAAGUCCUGUAGGAUGGUCUGCCCUCAGUUGUCCCCCAGCGGUGUAGCUCUCAAAUCUGAUGUUUAUGAAUAUUGGUUGAGUGCAUACGGAAUUCCCGAUAUCCACCUGACGUCAUCGCUGCUCAACCAACCGUAGCCUUGCUUGCAUCGUCGCCGUAGCAACGUGAAUGGUGACUACAAGAAAGCCACGUGGUGAUCUCCAGCAGGGCGCGCGAACAGCUUACGUUUCUCUGUCUAUAUUUGGCUAUGGAGAGACGGGAAACAGCAGUCCAGCCAAGGCCAAGGAGCUGAGUUGUGUGCUCUUUGGCGCUUAGUUGGGUUGGGUGCAUGUGAUUUCCAAGGAAGAGAAAUCAUCUAUAUAACAUGGUGGCUUUAAGCAUGCCUGCAUUGUAUCAUGAAUGGAUGCAAGCUCCCCAAAUAAAAUAAGGAAUAUUGUGCUCUGUUGUUGAUAAGAUGCGCAGAUUCCUUAUGAAAAACACGGGUUUGAGAGGCCUAUGUAAUUUCUUGUUGUCCGGAGUAGGUGUCAAAAUCAACCUAUUUUUCACAAUGUAUUUCAAUAAACUACUGAAA